CAGCCGUAAACUAUGCGCGUUAGGUGUACUGGUGACCACGAGUCACCGGGGUGCCGAAGGGAAACCGUGAAACGUGCCGCCUGGGAAGUACGGUCGCAAGGCUGAAACUUAAAGGAAUUGGCGGGGGAGCACCACAACGGGUGGAGCCCUGCGGUUUAAUUGGACUCAACGCCGGAAAUCUCACCGGAUAGGACAGACAUAUGAUAGUCGGGCUGAAGACUCUACUUGAUGAUCUGAGAGGAGGUGCAUGGCGUC
RNAcentral lists this ribosomal RNA (255 nucleotides) under uncultured archaeon. RNAcentral's name for it is "partial 16S ribosomal RNA". It matches the Rfam family "Archaeal small subunit ribosomal RNA", at positions 748 to 1001 of the family's 1478-position model. The record is from RNAcentral.